Chelonia mydas (Green sea turtle) is the source of this 142-nucleotide long non-coding RNA. RefSeq lists it as uncharacterized. The transcript is spliced from 3 exons. The record is from RefSeq and is a predicted model, not a curated record. Lineage: Eukaryota; Metazoa; Chordata; Testudines; Cheloniidae.
UGCAAGUCAUUCCCUGUAGCCCCAAGCACUCCACUCAGGAGCCAGUGCUCCCCCUGCAAGGGUUGGUGGCAGCUCAAACACGCCAGAGCAGCGCAGAGCAGGUUGGGGGAGAAGGGGAUCGGAAUGGCACACAUCUGAACUC